RNAcentral lists this ribosomal RNA (244 nucleotides) under uncultured archaeon. RNAcentral describes it as "partial 16S ribosomal RNA". It matches the Rfam family "Archaeal small subunit ribosomal RNA", at positions 345 to 589 of the family's 1478-position model. The record is from RNAcentral.
AAACUUUACACUGCGGGAAACCGCGAUAAGGGGACCCCGAGUGCCAGCACCUAGUGCUGGCUGUCCUACUGUCUAAAUAACAGUGGUUAGCAAGGGCCGGGCAAGACCGGUGCCAGCCGCCGCGGUAACACCAGCUCCACAAGUGGCAAUCGUAUUUAUUUGGCCUAAAGCGUCCGUAGCCGGUUUAGUAAAUUUUCUGUGAAAUUGUUGGGCUUAACCUAACGUCGUGCAGGAAAGACUGCUA